CGUGAGUGGGAGCCCCAGGCUGUCCCAGGGUCCCGGUGCUGACUCAGGGUGGGAGUGCGAGCCCCAGGCUGUGUGUGGGGGUCCCGGUGCUGACUCUUUCUCCGCAGAUGUCACUGCCCCCUCCCACUUCCUGCAGCAUGGCGUCGCCCCAGCCCCACAUCCAGGCUGUAGUCACCGAGAGGCAUCGGAUGGGCGAGUGUCCCGUGUGGGAGGAGGCCACAGGGCAGCUGGUCUACGUGGACAUCCUCGCGCAGACCGUGUGCCGCUGGGGCCCGCACAAGGCGCAGGUGCAGACGGUGCGGCUGGGAGACCCUGUGGGCUGCGUGGCCCUGCGCGACAAGGACCCGGGCAGCUAUGUGGUGGCCGCGGGCACGCGCGUGGGACUGCUGGACUGGGACUCGCAGGACGUGCAGUGGGUGGCGCAGCUGGACGGACAGACGCCUGGCAUCCGGGUCAAUGACGGCAAGGUGGACCCCGCGGGGCGCUUCGUGACAGGCACCAUGCCCGAGCCCCUGGCCCCCGGGGUGUGGGAACCCGCGCAGGGCGCCCUCUACUCGCUCCACGGGGAUCACGAGGUGCGGAAGCUCGCCGACCGGCUGGGCAUCUCCAACGGGCUGGACUGGUCACCCGACCAGCGCACGUUCUACCACGUGGACAGCCUGGACUACGCCGUGUACGCCUAUGACUAUGACGUGCAGGCGGGCACCAUCGAGAACCGCCGGCUCCUGCUCCAGCUGCCGCGGGGCGGGGCGAUGCCCGACGGGCUGUGCGUGGACAGCGCAGGGUCGCUGUGGGUGGCGUGCAUCGACGGGGGCCGCGUGAUCCGCGUGGACCCGCACACCGGGUCACGAGUGGGAACCCUGGAAUUCCCCGUGUCCCGCGUCACUUCCUGCUGCUUCGGUGGCGCUGACUAUGCGGAUCUCUUCGUGACGUCAGCAGCCGACGGGCUGAGCGCGGAGCAGCUGCGGGGGGAGCCGCAGGCGGGUCACGUGUUCAAGGUCUCCGGCCUGGGCGUUCGCGGACGCGCGUGUUUCCCCUUCGUAGGCUGAGGCCAAGUCCUGUCCAGGUGACCCCCGUGACCCCAUGACCCCUGCGAACCCCCGUGACCCCCAUGACCCCUGCGAACCCCCGUGACUCCCGUGUCCCCCAUGACCCCCAUCAUAAAUCCUGCUGUGUUUCCACGAGUGUCCGCGUCAGUGGGGUCAAGGAUCAUGGGGUCACUGCAGACCACGGAGAGGACUGAGCCGGGUCCUGAUGCUAAGUACACAGUACACAGAACCUGGGGUCCGAGGACUCAGCACAGCACUUGUGCUAAGUACACAGCUAAGUACUCAGGAGGACUUAGACAAGCAGUGCACAGACUGGAACAGAAACUGAGUCUGUCCUUUUCUGCAGCACAGCACUCAUGCAGAGUACACAGUACACAGUACCCGGGUCCGAGUACUCAGCACAGCACUUGUGCUAAGUAUAUACAGGACACAGCUAAGGACUCAUGAAGACUUAGAUAAGCACUCAGACAGGAAACAGAUGGGCUGGGCGUCCUGUUCUGCAGUGAGUACUCAGCAGAGCACUCAUACUAAGUACACAGUACACAGCUAAGUAGUCACAAGGACUUAGACAAGCACUCACAGUCAGGAAAUAGAUGGGUGGGGCGGGUUCAAUACUCAGUACAGAGACGUGAACACUCAUGCUGAGUACACAGUACACAGUACUCACGGCCCGACUACUCAGCACAGCUCUCGUGCUAUGUACACAGUACAUAGUUAAGGACUCAUGAGGACUUAGACAAGCACUCACACACAGGGGCGGGGCCGUCCUGUUCAGCGGGUUCAGCAGGUACUCAGUACAGCACUCAUGCUAUAUACACAGUACUCAGUUAACUACUCACGAGGUCUUAGACCAACACCACGCAGCUCUUCAACCUUCUUAGUUUUCAGUACUCAGCAUGGUGACGUGAGCACUCAGGAGGACUGAGACAAGCACUCACAGCUCUUCAACCUUUUCGGUUUUCAGUCAAGUUGUGCAUCUGAUACCAUGAACUUGGUUACAAGGGGUGACUCGGGGUCAUCAGCCCUGGGGAUCAAACACUCCAAACACAGACACUGUUGUCCCCGUGUCCCCCGCCCCCACGCCCUGUCCCCCCGCCUUUUCCCCCCCCCGUGUCCCCUCCCUCUGUCUCCCCCCAGUCUCCCUGCCGUGCCCCCCUGUCCCCUCCCUCAUGUCCCCCCUUCCCCCAUCUCUUCCCUCUCUGUGUCCCCCGCCCGUGUAGCCUCCCCCCCCCCAUCCCCCAGCCACGGGAUCCCCAGGACUCAGCUGGGAACAGAGGGGUUAGAGUGGUAACAGCCGGUCACAGCCAGUCUGACCCCAGGACAGAGCAGGGGCGGGAGGGACUGACGUCACCCUGAGGACCAGGCAGGGCGGUGCUGACGUCACAGCUCAGCACACAGUAGUGUCCUGACUGUGUGCGGCGUUACCGCCACGCCUCCCCACAUCGAGGGGCGGGUCACCACGGCCACGCCCCCACAGGGACCUUGUCACUCAGGGCACUCAGCAGGGCACAGGGACAGGAGGGUGACACACAGGCCUGGUGUCACCAGCCACACACCCGCGGGGACUGAGCCCGUCUCUGUCGGAAUGUGUAACCAGCCUGGUGUUUCAUCCUAGCAGUAGUAACUCUGACUAAGACAGUGUGGUUUGAAUCUACAACCUCCAAGGUCUGCCUUGCAUCUAACAAACACUGUCAUUCGAUGUUGCUGCAUGGUUUGCUACUGAGGAAGCUACUUUUUCUUUAAAGACAGGGUUUUUCUUUGUAGCCCUUGCAGGACCUCGCUCUGUCUAUCAGGCUGGUCUCUAAUGACAGAGAUGGCCUGCUCUGACUCCUGGGUGCUUCAAUUAAAGGCAUGUACCAACACUGCCCAGCUGGAAAUACUGUUUUAUCCCUGUCCCGUUGAUGCUGGGGCUGCUUCCACUGUUUAGCUGUUUAAAGAAGGCCACUUUGUUCAAGCUGGUACAUACAGCCUGCGCUACAAAUGUGACAGUUUUUCCUGUCAUAUCACAGCUACAUUCCAGCAUGUGCAUGCCUGGACCUUCCUGGAUGAUGCUCUUGUCUCUAGUGCAUGGGACUCACUAUGCUUCUCAGGUGUUCUCCACUGGUGACCUGGAAGCCUUUGCAAUAUGAGGGUGUUUUUUCUGCUGUGCUUGGACAUGUGUCCACAUGUCCAUUGGUCUCCUUUUAGUUUUGCUGUCUGAAGAUCCAGGAAGGAAGUAGCAGCUAAGAGGGUCAUGGAUGGACCUGGGAAGAAGGACAGAGGAAGUACAGACUGCAAGAAUUUGAACACAGCCAUCCAGGCUGCAGUCAUGACAGCCUUCCUUUACCUGUGGUGGCCAGCUGUGCACACCUCCCUGGAGAUUAGUCAACCUCUUUAGCUCACAGUGAGCCUGGACAACAGGAGCUCCCCACUACAUCAUCUGCUGUAGCAUGAAUCUUAAAAGGUCUUAUUAAUAAAAACAAACCCAGUGCCAGUUAUUGGGAUGAAUGCUGGAAGAUCAGAGAAGCAGAACAAGCCACAGCCACCUCACCUCACCAACUCCU
Non-coding RNA from Peromyscus maniculatus bairdii (prairie deer mouse), 3592 nucleotides. The record is from RefSeq and is a predicted model, not a curated record. Lineage: Eukaryota; Metazoa; Chordata; Mammalia; Rodentia; Cricetidae.